GAUGAACGCUGGCGGCGUGCCUAAUACAUGCAAGUCGAGCGAACAGACGAGGAGCUUGCCCCUCUGACGUUAGCGGCGGACGUGUGAGUACCACAUGGAUACCGUACCUAUAGGACAGGGAUAACUUCGUGAACCAGGACCUAAUACGGGAUAAUAUAUUGAACGGCAUGGUUCAAUAGUAAAAUACGCUUUUCCCGUCACUUAUAGAUGAUUCCGUGCCGCAUUAGCUAGUUGGUAAGGUAACGGCUUACCAAGGCAACGAUGCGUAGCCGACCUGAGAGGGUGAUCGGCCACACUGGAACUGAGACACGGUCCAGACUCCUACGGGAGGCAGCAGUAGGGAAUCUUCCGCAAAGGGCGAAAGCCUGACGGAGCAACGCCGCGUGAGUGAUGAAGGUCUUCGGAUCGUAAAACUCUGUUAUUAGGGAAGAACAAGUGUUUAAGUAACUAUGCACGUCUUGACGGUACCGUAUCAGAAAGCCACGGCUAACUACGUG
Molecule: ribosomal RNA, 497 nt
Filed under: uncultured bacterium
Lineage: Bacteria
Description: partial 16S ribosomal RNA
Rfam family: Bacterial small subunit ribosomal RNA
Source: RNAcentral